CAAAUUAAAGCUUAUAAUAAGUUUUUUAUUUACAUUAAGAAGAUUGCUGUUUAAUACAGUUAAUUUGA
RNAcentral lists this transfer RNA (68 nucleotides) under Emeia pseudosauteri. RNAcentral describes it as "tRNA-Val". The record is from RNAcentral. Lineage: Eukaryota; Metazoa; Arthropoda; Insecta; Coleoptera; Lampyridae.